Molecule: long non-coding RNA, 428 nt
Filed under: Polistes fuscatus (common paper wasp)
Lineage: Eukaryota; Metazoa; Arthropoda; Insecta; Hymenoptera; Vespidae
Description: uncharacterized LOC122516596
Source: RNAcentral
UCCAUUAAAUAUAAAGAAACUAAUUACUUUAUAAUGUUUUUUAAUAACUUUUAUACAUUUACAAGGAGUCCUUACCUAUAAUUUCCUCCAUCAACCAUCAUACCUUCCCUACUUUCUUUCUUUUCCUUUAUAUCAAGUAUGCUCACAUGAAGUAGCAUGCAUUCAGAUUACAUAGGAGGAGGACCACAUGAGGACCAGAAGAGGACCAGCCGAGGACCACACCAGGACAGCACGAGGACUUAGUUAUAAUGUAGUAUAGAGUAAGAUAAUAUUAUUUGUAUAAUUAAAUGUAUAAUUUUAAUCUAUUUAUUCUUCUCCCUUUCUCCAUUGAUGGUCAAGUUAGUAACUAAGAUGAAUGUGGUUACGCGAAAAGUGGAUUUGUGAGCUUCUAUGUACUUCUGUCUAGCAUUAAAAAGUUGUUAAAAAUA